Molecule: ribosomal RNA, 468 nt
Filed under: uncultured bacterium
Lineage: Bacteria
Description: partial 16S ribosomal RNA
Rfam family: Bacterial small subunit ribosomal RNA
Source: RNAcentral
GACGAACGCUGGCGGCGUGCUUAACACAUGCAAGUCGAACGGAAAGACCCUGCUUUUGUGGGGUGCUCGAGUGGCGAACGGGUGAGUAACACGUGAGUAACCUGCCCUUGACUUUGGGAUAACUUCAGGAAACUGGGGCUAAUACCGGAUAGGAGCUCCUGCUGCAUGGUGGGGGUUGGAAAGUUUCGGCGGUUGGGGAUGGACUCGCGGCUUAUCAGCUUGUUGGUGGGGUAGUGGCUUACCAAGGCUUUGACGGGUAGCCGGCCUGAGAGGGUGACCGGCCACAUUGGGACUGAGAUAAGGCCCAGACUCCUACGGGAGGCAGCAGUGGGGAAUAUUGCACAAUGGGCGGAAGCCUGAUGCAGCAACGCCGCGUGCGGGAUGACGGCCUCCGGGUUGUAAACCGCUUUCGCCUGUGACGAAGCGUGAGUGACGGUAAUGGGUAAAGAAGCACCGGCUAACUACGUG